This 76-nucleotide transfer RNA is filed under the name Escherichia coli. RNAcentral's name for it is "tRNA-Thr". It matches the Rfam family "tRNA". Rfam says of the family: Transfer RNA (tRNA) molecules are approximately 80 nucleotides in length. Their secondary structure includes four short double-helical elements and three loops (D, anti-codon, and T loops). Further hydrogen bonds mediate the characteristic L-shaped molecular structure. tRNAs have two regions of fundamental functional importance: the anti-codon, which is responsible for specific mRNA codon recognition, and the 3' end, to which the tRNAs corresponding amino acid is attached (by aminoacyl-tRNA synthetases). tRNAs cope with the degeneracy of the genetic code in two manners: having more than one tRNA (with a specific anti-codon) for a particular amino acid; and 'wobble' base-pairing, i.e. permitting non-standard base-pairing at the 3rd anti-codon position. Lineage: Bacteria; Pseudomonadati; Pseudomonadota; Gammaproteobacteria; Enterobacterales; Enterobacteriaceae. The record is from RNAcentral. RNAcentral also lists the same sequence under 1 other name.
GCUGAUAUGGCGCAGUUGGUAGAGCGCACCCUUGGUAAGGGUGAGGUCCCCAGUUCGACUCUGGGUAUCAGCACCA